RNAcentral lists this ribosomal RNA (2896 nucleotides) under Clostridioides difficile. RNAcentral describes it as "23S ribosomal RNA". It matches the Rfam family "Bacterial large subunit ribosomal RNA". Lineage: Bacteria; Bacillati; Bacillota; Clostridia; Peptostreptococcales; Peptostreptococcaceae. The record is from RNAcentral.
UCAAGUUAUUAAGGGUGCAGGGCGGAUGCCUUGGCACUAGGAGCCGAUGAAGGACGUGAUAAGCUGCGAUAAGCUUCGGGGAGUUGCACGUAAACUUUGAUCCGAAGAUUUCCGAAUGAGGAAACUCACUUAGAGUAAUGUCUAAGUAUCAUUAAGUGAAUACAUAGCUUAAUGAGGGGAACUCAGGGAACUGAAACAUCUAAGUACCUGAAGGAAGAGAAAGAAAUUCGAUUCCGUAAGUAGCGGCGAGCGAACGCGGAUUAGCCCAAACCAAUAAAGUUUUCUUUAUUGGGGUUGCGGACAUAUCAUAACGAAGAGGUAUCGUAAUUGAAGAGGUUUGGAAAGACCCACCACAGAAGGUAAUAGUCCUGUAUGUUAAACGAGAAGACUUCAGAUAUGAUCCAGAGUACCACGGGACACGUGAAACCCUGUGGGAAGCAGGAGGGACCACCCUCCAAGGCUAAAUACUACCUAGUGACCGAUAGCGUAUAGUACCGUGAGGGAAAGGUGAAAAGAACCCCGGGAGGGGAGUGAAAUAGAACCUGAAACCCUGCACUUACAAGCUGUGGAAGCACAUUUCUUGUGUGACCGCGUACUUUUUGUAGAACGGGCCAACGAGUUACGUUAAGUAGCAAGGUUAAGCACUUAAGGUGUGGAGCCGUAGCGAAAGCGAGUUUUAACUGAGCGUUCAGUUACUUGACGUAGACCCGAAACCGGGCGACCUACCCAUGAGCAGGAUGAAGCGAAAGUAAAAUUUCGUGGAGGUCCGAACCCACGAGCGUUGAAAAGCUCGGGGAUGACUUGUGGGUAGCGGUGAAAUUCCAAUCGAGCCCGGAGAUAGCUGGUUCUCCCCGAAAUAGCUUUAGGGCUAGCCUCAAGGUGAGAGAUACGGAGGUAGAGCACUGAAUGUCCUAGGGGGUAUUGCACCUACCGAAGACUAUCAAACUCCGAAUGCCGUCAUCUUAUACUUGGGAGUCAGACUGUGGGUGAUAAGAUUCAUAGUCGAAAGGGCAACAGCCCAGAUCGUCAGCUAAGGUCCCUAAAUGUAAGUUAAGUGGUAAAGGAUGUGGGAUUGCACAGACAACCAGGAUGUUGGCUUAGAAGCAGCCACUCAUUCAAAGAGUGCGUAAUAGCUCACUGGUCGAGUGAUCCUGCGCCGAAGAUUUCCGGGGCUAAAACUUACUACCGAAGCUACGGCAUCAGUAAUGAUGGGUAGGGGAGCUUCCCAUACGGGUUGAAGCAUGACCGUAAGGACAUGUGGACAGAAUGGGAGUGAGAAUGUUGGCAUGAGUAGCGAGAUGUGGGUGAGAAUCCCACAGGCCGUAAACCCAAGGUUUCCAGGGGAAGGUUCGUCCGCCCUGGGUUAGUCGGGACCUAAGCUGAGGCCGAAAGGCGUAGGUGAUGGACAACAGGUUGAUAUUCCUGUACUACCGAUAACCGUUUGAGAGAAGGGAUGACACAGUAGGAUAAGCUAAGCACACUGUUGGUUAUGUGUGCCCAAGCAUUGAGGCAGUCAAAGUAGGCAAAUCCGCUUUGAUAAUGCUGGGAUGUGAUGGGGAGCGAAAUUUAGUAGCGAAGUAGCUGAUUUCACACUGUCAAGAAAAGUCUCUAUCGAGGUUAAAGGUACCCGUACCGCAAACCGACACAGGUGGGUGAGGAGAGUAUCCUAAGGCCAGCGAGAGAACUGUUGUUAAGGAACUCGGCAAAAUGACCCCGUAACUUAGGGAUAAGGGGUGCCACCAUCAGGUGGCCGCAGAGAAUAGGCCCAAGCGACUGUUUACCAAAAACAUAGGUUUCUGCUAAGUCGCAAGACGAUGUAUAGGAGCUGACGCCUGCCCGGUGCUGGAAGGUUAAGGGGAUCUGUUAGAGCAAUCGAAGCAGUGAACUUAAGCCCCAGUAAACGGCGGCCGUAACUAUAACGGUCCUAAGGUAGCGAAAUUCCUUGUCGGGUAAGUUCCGACCCGCACGAAAGGCGUAACGAUUUGGGCACUGUCUCAACAACAGACUCGGUGAAAUUGUAAUUCCGGUGAAGAUGCCGGAUACCUGCGACAGGACGGAAAGACCCCAUGGAGCUUUACUGUAGCUUGACAUUGGGUCUUGGUACUACAUGUACAGGAUAGGUGGGAGGCUUUGAAACCAGGACGCCAGUUUUGGCGGAGCCAUCCUUGGGAUACCACCCUUGUAGUACUGGGACUCUAACCAUAGGCCAUGAAUCUGGUCUUGGGACACUGUCAGGUGGGCAGUUUGACUGGGGCGGUCGCCUCCCAAAAGGUAACGGAGGCGCUCAAAGGUUCUCUCAGUACGGUCGGAAAUCGUACGUAGAGUGUAAAGGCAAAAGAGAGCUUGAUUGCAAGACAUACAGGUCGAGCAAGGAUGAAAAUCGGACUUAGUGAUCCGGUGGUUCUGCGUGGAAGGGCCAUCGCUCAACGGAUAAAAGCUACCCUGGGGAUAACAGGCUUAUCUCCCCCAAGAGUCCACAUCGACGGGGAGGUUUGGCACCUCGAUGUCGGCUCAUCACAUCCUGGGGCUGUAGUAGGUCCCAAGGGUUGGGCUGUUCGCCCAUUAAAGUGGUACGCGAGCUGGGUUCAGAACGUCGUGAGACAGUUCGGUCCCUAUCCGUCGCAGGCGUAGGAAAUUUGAGAAGACCUGUCCUUAGUACGAGAGGACCGGGAUGGACGUACCUCUGGUGUACCAGUUGUUCUGCCAAGGGCAUGGCUGGGUAGCUAUGUACGGAAUGGAUAAGCGCUGAAAGCAUCUAAGCGCGAAGCCAACUUCAAGAUAAGAUUUCCCACCGUAAGGGUAAGACCCCAGAAAGACUAUCUGGUUGAUAGGUCGAAGGUGUAAGUGCAGCAAUGUAUUUAGCUUAUCGAUACUAAUAGGUCGAGGACUUGACCAA